This 117-nucleotide ribosomal RNA is filed under the name Clostridiales bacterium. RNAcentral describes it as "partial 16S ribosomal RNA". It matches the Rfam family "Bacterial small subunit ribosomal RNA", at positions 1424 to 1533 of the family's 1533-position model. Lineage: Bacteria; Bacillati; Bacillota; Clostridia; Eubacteriales. The record is from RNAcentral.
AAGUCGGUGCGCUAACCGCAAGGAGGCAGCCGCCUAAGGUAAGACCAAUGACUGGGGUGAAGUCGUAACAAGGUAGCCGUAUCGGAAGGUGCGGCUGGAUCACCUCCUUUUAAGGAG